Molecule: small RNA, 400 nt
Filed under: Pongo abelii (Sumatran orangutan)
Lineage: Eukaryota; Metazoa; Chordata; Mammalia; Primates; Hominidae
Description: retained intron
Source: RNAcentral
UUUAAAAAUGCUGACAGAAGCAUGGAGAAAAAGAAGGGGGAGGCUAGAACCAGGGCCGAGGCUCGCCCCUGGGUGGAUGAAGACUUAAAAGACAGCAGUGACCUGCACCAAGCAGAAGAAGAUGCUGAUGAAUGGCAAGAAUCAGAAGAAAACGUUGAACACAUCCCCUUCUCUCAUACCCACUAUCCUGAGAAGGAAAUGGUUAGGAGGUCUCGGGAAUUUUAUGAGCUUCUCAAUAAGAGACGGUCAGUCAGGUUCAUAAGUAAUGAGCAAGUCCCAAUGGAAGUCAUUGAUAAUGUCAUCAGAACAGCAGGUUUGUAAUUGCAGAUGGCAUCUUUGGAAAUGUUAGUCACCUUACCGGUGUGACUCCAACAAUGGAAAAAUGUCAAAGUUUAAACAU